Molecule: transfer RNA, 73 nt
Filed under: Chloroflexota bacterium
Lineage: Bacteria; Bacillati; Chloroflexota
Also listed under: 1 other name
Description: Chloroflexi bacterium tRNA-Arg
Rfam family: tRNA
About the family: Transfer RNA (tRNA) molecules are approximately 80 nucleotides in length. Their secondary structure includes four short double-helical elements and three loops (D, anti-codon, and T loops). Further hydrogen bonds mediate the characteristic L-shaped molecular structure. tRNAs have two regions of fundamental functional importance: the anti-codon, which is responsible for specific mRNA codon recognition, and the 3' end, to which the tRNAs corresponding amino acid is attached (by aminoacyl-tRNA synthetases). tRNAs cope with the degeneracy of the genetic code in two manners: having more than one tRNA (with a specific anti-codon) for a particular amino acid; and 'wobble' base-pairing, i.e. permitting non-standard base-pairing at the 3rd anti-codon position.
Source: RNAcentral
GCCCUUGUAGCUCAGGGGAUAGAGCGACGGUCUUCUAAACCGCAGGUCGGGAGUUCGAAUCUCUCCAAGGGCG